This is a long non-coding RNA of Nycticebus coucang (slow loris), 515 nucleotides long. RefSeq lists it as uncharacterized. The transcript is spliced from 3 exons. NCBI's taxonomy places the organism in Eukaryota, Metazoa, Chordata, Mammalia, Primates, Lorisidae. The record is from RefSeq and is a predicted model, not a curated record.
GGAUGGAUGGAUGGAUGGAUGGAUGGAUGGAUGGAUGGAUGGAUGGAUGGAUAGGUGGAUGGAUGGAUGGAUGGAUGGAUGAUAGGUAAGUAGGUAGAUGCGUGAUAGACAGAUGAUAGACUCACAUAAUAGCUGCUAUCAUCUCAUCUGUCUAUAUUGAUCUGCCAGACACUGUGGUGGGCACCUGUAGUCCCAGCUCCUUGAGAGGCAGAUAGCAUGAGCCCAGGAGUUCUAAGUCCCCAUGAGCUCUGAAGACAGCACAGCACUCCAGCCUGGGCAACAGAACAGGACCCUGUCUCCCCAAAUAUAAAUACACAUGUACAUAUAUACAUUAAAAAUUAGGGAAAAAGGGUAAAGCAUUAACUAACAAUGUGUAUGAUUCUGAUUUACAAAGGCUGCCACCUUGAGCACAUAGGAAUGGGUCCCUAUGUGUAUGUGUCUCUUGGUCCCCCAGGAAUGGGGUCCCUAUGUCUGUGUGUCCCUGGGUCCACCACACAGACACACACACACACACA